AGAGUUUGAUCAUGGCUCAGAUUGAACGCUGGCGGCAGGCCUAACACAUGCAAGUCGAGCGGUAGCACAGAGAGCUUGCUCUCGGGUGACGAGCGGCGGACGGGUGAGUAAUGUCUGGGAAACUGCCUGAUGGAGGGGGAUAACUACUGGAAACGGUAGCUAAUACCGCAUAAUGUCGCAAGACCAAAGUGGGGGACCUUCGGGCCUCAUGCCAUCAGAUGUGCCCAGAUGGGAUUAGCUAGUAGGUGGGGUAACGGCUCACCUAGGCGACGAUCCCUAGCUGGUCUGAGAGGAUGACCAGCCACACUGGAACUGAGACACGGUCCAGACUCCUACGGGAGGCAGCAGUGGGGAAUAUUGCACAAUGGGCGCAAGCCUGAUGCAGCCAUGCCGCGUGUGUGAAGAAGGCCUUCGGGUUGUAAAGCACUUUCAGCGGGGAGGAAGGCGAUAAGGUUAAUAACCUUGUCGAUUGACGUUACCCGCAGAAGAAGCACCGGCUAACUCCGUGCCAGCAGCCGCGGUAAUACGGAGGGUGCAAGCGUUAAUCGGAAUUACUGGGCGUAAAGCGCACGCAGGCGGUCUGUCAAGUCGGAUGUGAAAUCCCCGGGCUCAACCUGGGAACUGCAUUCGAAACUGGCAGGCUAGAGUCUUGUAGAGGGGGGUAGAAUUCCAGGUGUAGCGGUGAAAUGCGUAGAGAUCUGGAGGAAUACCGGUGGCGAAGGCGGCCCCCUGGACAAAGACUGACGCUCAGGUGCGAAAGCGUGGGGAGCAAACAGGAUUAGAUACCCUGGUAGUCCACGCCGUAAACGAUGUCGAUUUGGAGGUUGUGCCCUUGAGGCGUGGCUUCCGGAGCUAACGCGUUAAAUCGACCGCCUGGGGAGUACGGCCGCAAGGUUAAAACUCAAAUGAAUUGACGGGGGCCCGCACAAGCGGUGGAGCAUGUGGUUUAAUUCGAUGCAACGCGAAGAACCUUACCUGGUCUUGACAUCCACAGAACUUAGCAGAGAUGCUUUGGUGCCUUCGGGAACUGUGAGACAGGUGCUGCAUGGCUGUCGUCAGCUCGUGUUGUGAAAUGUUGGGUUAAGUCCCGCAACGAGCGCAACCCUUAUCCUUUGUUGCCAGCGGUUAGGCCGGGAACUCAAAGGAGACUGCCAGUGAUAAACUGGAGGAAGGUGGGGAUGACGUCAAGUCAUCAUGGCCCUUACGACCAGGGCUACACACGUGCUACAAUGGCAUAUACAAAGAGAAGCGACCUCGCGAGAGCAAGCGGACCUCAUAAAGUAUGUCGUAGUCCGGAUUGGAGUCUGCAACUCGACUCCAUGAAGUCGGAAUCGCUAGUAAUCGUAGAUCAGAAUGCUACGGUGAAUACGUUCCCGGGCCUUGUACACACCGCCCGUCACACCAUGGGAGUGGGUUGCAAAAGAAGUAGGUAGCUUAACCUUCGGGAGGGCGCUUACCACUUUGUGAUUCAUGACUGGGGUGAAGUCGUAACAAGGUAACCGUAGGGGAACCUGCGGUUG
RNAcentral lists this ribosomal RNA (1520 nucleotides) under Klebsiella pneumoniae. RNAcentral describes it as "bacterial SSU rRNA". It matches the Rfam family "Bacterial small subunit ribosomal RNA". The record is from RNAcentral. Lineage: Bacteria; Pseudomonadati; Pseudomonadota; Gammaproteobacteria; Enterobacterales; Enterobacteriaceae. RNAcentral also lists the same sequence under 2 other names.